Molecule: ribosomal RNA, 253 nt
Filed under: uncultured bacterium
Lineage: Bacteria
Description: partial 16S ribosomal RNA
Rfam family: Bacterial small subunit ribosomal RNA
Source: RNAcentral
GACGUAGGAUGCGAGCGUUGUCCGGAUUUAUUGGGCGUAAAGUGUUCGUAGGUGGUUUGUUAAGUCUGAUGUUAAAGACUGGGGCUCAACCUCGGAAGUGCAUUGGAUACUGGCAGACUCGAGUGCAGUAGAGGCAAGCGGAAUUCCAGGUGUAGCGGUGAAAUGCGUAGAUAUCUGGAAGAACACCGGUGGCGCAAGCGGCUUGCUGGGCUGUAACUGACACUGAGGAACGAAAGCUAGGGUAGCGAAUGGG